UACGGGGGGGAGCAAGCGUUGUUCGGAUUUACUGGGCGUAAAGGGCGCGUAGGCGGUCAGCACAAGUCAGUUGUGAAAUCUCCGGGCUUAACUCGAAGAAGCAACUGAUACUGUGCGACUAGAGUGCGGAAGGGGCAACUGGAAUUCUCGGUGUAGCGGUGAAAUGCGUAGAUAUCGAGAGGAACACCUGCGGCGAAGGCGGGUUGCUGGGCCGACACUGACGCUGAGGCACGAAGGUCAGGGGAGCAAACGGG
This 254-nucleotide ribosomal RNA is filed under the name uncultured bacterium. RNAcentral's name for it is "partial 16S ribosomal RNA". It matches the Rfam family "Bacterial small subunit ribosomal RNA", at positions 524 to 776 of the family's 1533-position model. The record is from RNAcentral.